GCCAAUGUAGUGUAGUGGUUUAAGCAUAGGACUACAACUCUGGAGGCCAGGGGUCGAAUCCCAGCUCGGCCA
This 72-nucleotide transfer RNA is filed under the name Phrynosoma platyrhinos (Desert horned lizard). Its description in RNAcentral is "tRNA-OTHER". Lineage: Eukaryota; Metazoa; Chordata; Lepidosauria; Squamata; Phrynosomatidae. The record is from RNAcentral.